UGGGGAAUAUUGGACAAUGGGCGCAAGCCUGAUCCAGCCAUGCCGCGUGUGUGAAGAAGGCCUUUUAGUUGUAAAGCACUUUAAGCGAGGAGGAGGCUACUUGGAUUAAUACUCUAGGAUAGUGGACGUUACUCGCAGAAUAAGCACCGGCUAACUCUGUGCCAGCAGCCGCGGUAAUACAGAGGGUGCGAGCGUUAAUCGGAUUUACUGGGCGUAAAGCGUGCGUAGGCGGCUUUUUAAGUCGGAUGUGAAAUCCCUGAGCUUAACUUAGGAAUUGCAUUCGAUACUGGGAAGCUAGAGUAUGGGAGAGGAUGGUAGAAUUCCAGGUGUAGCGGUGAAAUGCGUAGAGUUCUGGAGGAAUACCGAUGGCGAAGGCAGCCAUCUGGCCUAAUACUGACGCUGAGGUACGAAAGCAUGGGGAGCAAACAGG
This 430-nucleotide ribosomal RNA is filed under the name bacterium. RNAcentral describes it as "partial 16S ribosomal RNA". It matches the Rfam family "Bacterial small subunit ribosomal RNA", at positions 355 to 776 of the family's 1533-position model. The record is from RNAcentral.